RNAcentral lists this ribosomal RNA (433 nucleotides) under uncultured bacterium. RNAcentral's name for it is "partial 16S ribosomal RNA". It matches the Rfam family "Bacterial small subunit ribosomal RNA", at positions 29 to 507 of the family's 1533-position model. The record is from RNAcentral.
AAUGAACGCUGGCGGCAUGCCUAACACAUGCAAGUCGAACGAAGGCUUCGGCCUUAGUGGCGCACGGGUGCGUAACGCGUGGGAAUCUGCCCUUGGGUUCGGAAUAACAGUUAGAAAUGACUGCUAAUACCGGAUGAUGUCGUAAGACCAAAGAUUUAUCGCCCAAGGAUGAGCCCGCGUAGGAUUAGCUAGUUGGUGGGGUAAAGGCCUACCAAGGCGACGAUCCUUAGCUGGUCUGAGAGGAUGAUCAGCCACACUGGGGCUGAGACACGGCCCAGACUCCUACGGGAGGCAGCAGUGGGGAAUAUUGGACAAUGGGCGAAAGCCUGAUCCAGCAAUGCCGCGUGAGUGAUGAAGGCCUUAGGGUUGUAAAGCUCUUUUACCCGGGAUGAUAAUGACAGUACCGGGAGAAUAAGCUCCGGCUAACUUCGUG